This 337-nucleotide unclassified non-coding RNA is filed under the name soil metagenome. RNAcentral describes it as "partial contains 5.8S ribosomal RNA, internal transcribed spacer 2, and large subunit ribosomal RNA". The stretch from base 1 to 120 matches the Rfam family "5.8S ribosomal RNA", at positions 35 to 154 of the family's 154-position model. The record is from RNAcentral.
GAUGAAGAACGUAGCGAAAUGCGAUAAGUAAUGUGAAUUGCAGAAUUCAGUGAAUCAUCGAAUCUUUGAACGCACAUUGCGCCCGCCAGUAUUCUGGCGGGCAUGCCUGUUCGAGCGUCAUUUCAACCAUCAAGCCCCCCGGCUUGUGUUGGGGACCUGCGGCUGCCGCAGGCCCUGAAAAGCAGUGGCGGGCUCGCUGUCACACCGAGCGUAGUAGCAUACAUCUCGCUCUGGGCGUGCUGCGGGUUCCGGCCGUUAAACCACCUUCAUAACCCAAGGUUGACCUCGGAUCAGGUAGGAAGACCUGCUGAACUUAAGCAUAUCAAUAAGCGGAGGA